This 449-nucleotide ribosomal RNA is filed under the name uncultured bacterium. RNAcentral describes it as "bacterial SSU rRNA". It matches the Rfam family "Bacterial small subunit ribosomal RNA", at positions 328 to 793 of the family's 1533-position model. The record is from RNAcentral.
GACCCAGACUCCUACGGGAGGCAGCAGUGGGGGAUAUUGCACAAUGGGGGGAACCCUGAUGCAGCGACGCCGCGUGGGUGAAGGAGUAUUUCGGUAUGUAAAGCCCUAUCGGCAGGGAGGAAGCAAGACGGUACCUGACUAAGAAGCCCCGGCUAACUACGUGCCAGCAGCCGCGGUAAUACGUAGGGGGCAAGCGUUAUCCGGAUUUACUGGGUGUAAAGGGGGCGCAGACGGCGAUGCAAGCCGGGAGGGAAAGCCCGGGGCCCAACCCCGGGACUGCUCGUGGAACUGCGUGGCUGGAGUGCAGGAGGGGCAGGCGGAAUUCCUGGUGUAGCGGUGAAAUGCGUAGAUAUCAGGAGGAACACCGGUGGCGAAGGCGGCCUGCUGGACUGCAACUGACGUUGAGGCCCGAAAGCGUGGGGAGCAAACAGGAUUAGAUACCCGCGUAG